This is a long non-coding RNA of Cephus cinctus (wheat stem sawfly), 727 nucleotides long. RefSeq lists it as uncharacterized. Lineage: Eukaryota; Metazoa; Arthropoda; Insecta; Hymenoptera; Cephidae. The record is from RefSeq and is a predicted model, not a curated record. The transcript is spliced from 3 exons.
UGGGAUUCAUGGACCACAUACAGAGAUGUCACUGGACAAUGAGAAAUGAAUGUUAUUUGCGUGUUAUUUUCAUCAUAUCCACAUAUCACUGUAUUACUCUGAAGCAUCUGACGAUCUCUGGGUAAGACAGGAUAAACGUCCAAGACUAAUGAGUCUAAUCAGUUCAAAGUCCCCAAUGGACCAAAAGACUUUAUCUGACGUUUCUCAAGAGUCUUUAUUAUCUGUCCCGUCUACAGAGACAAAAAAGAUAAAUGAUCGUCAAGGUCCACACGACGAGGUGUAAAAUUUUUUUCGUCUAUCUUCCAUCAAUUCAUCCACAAUACUCGAAUUCGUAUUAUGAGUAUUUCUAAAGACGAUUUAAAGGAUUUGCAGCAUCCUCUUUUAAGUACCACCAUAGGUAAUCGUCACGUUUCAUUCGACAGACGACCGCAUGGCUCAAAUGACGUUAAGGGAUGUGCGAAAAUGCAUAAAAGGCAAGUUAAUCGAUCCAAUGAGCUCUGGACUUUCCCCUAGACAAUAAAAUUACUAGAUGGUCCGUGUAAUGCGAAGAUGAUCCAAUUACUCAGUGUUUGGAAUUAAAUUAACGAGCGAGGGGGUAAGCUUUGCUAAUUACCUAAUGGCGGACAUCGAAAAGUGGCAAUUGGAAAAUACAUCAAGGUCGGAAAAAAAAAAAAAAAAAAGAAAAGGUGAGUAGAUAAGGAUUACAUAGGGAACAGGGAUUUUUCAG